RNAcentral lists this unclassified non-coding RNA (207 nucleotides) under uncultured Agaricales. RNAcentral's name for it is "sequence contains ITS2". Lineage: Eukaryota; Fungi; Basidiomycota; Agaricomycetes; Agaricales. The record is from RNAcentral.
AAUUCUCAAAUCUUUAAUUGUUGUAAUGACGAUUGAAGACUUUGGAUGUGGGAGUCUUUUGCUGGCUUUUAUUAGUUCAGCUCUCCUUAAAUGCAUUAGUGGUUACUGUUCUUCCACUUUGGUGUGAUAAUUAUCUACGCCUAUAAGUGAAGAUGUUAAGUGUAGCUGCCUUCAAACCGUCCAAGUCUUAUUGGACAACUUUGAACU